This 64-nucleotide transfer RNA is filed under the name Ixodes ricinus (castor bean tick). RNAcentral's name for it is "tRNA-Met". The record is from RNAcentral. Lineage: Eukaryota; Metazoa; Arthropoda; Arachnida; Ixodida; Ixodidae.
UNUAAAGUAAGCUAAUUUAAGCUAGUGGGCUCAUACCCCAAAUAUGAAUAAUUUUCCUUUAUUA